RNAcentral lists this ribosomal RNA (499 nucleotides) under Elizabethkingia sp. N4. Its description in RNAcentral is "bacterial SSU rRNA". It matches the Rfam family "Bacterial small subunit ribosomal RNA", at positions 529 to 1033 of the family's 1533-position model. Lineage: Bacteria; Pseudomonadati; Bacteroidota; Flavobacteriia; Flavobacteriales; Weeksellaceae. The record is from RNAcentral.
GGGGAACCGGGUUAAACCGGAUUUAUUGGGUUUAAAGGGUCCGUAGGCGGAUCCGUAAGUCAGUGGUGAAAUCUCAUAGCUUAACUAUGAAACUGCCAUUGAUACUGCGGGUCUUGAGUAAGGUAGAAGUAGCUGGAAUAAGUAGUGUAGCGGUGAAAUGCAUAGAUAUUACUUAGAACACCAAUUGCGAAGGCAGGUUACUAUGUCUUAACUGACGCUGAUGGACGAAAGCGUGGGGAGCGAACAGGAUUAGAUACCCUGGUAGUCCACGCCGUAAACGAUGCUAACUCGUUUUUGGUUUUUCGGAAUCAGAGACUAAGCGAAAGUGAUAAGUUAGCCACCUGGGGAGUACGAACGCAAGUUUGAAACUCAAAGGAAUUGACGGGGGCCCGCACAAGCGGUGGAUUAUGUGGUUUAAUUCGAUGAUACGCGAGGAACCUUACCAAGACUUAAAUGGGAAUUGACAGAUUUAGAAAUAGAUCCUCCUUCGGGCAAUUUU